This is an RNA transcript of Ziziphus jujuba (common jujube), 1687 nucleotides long. It is a transcript of the gene named signal peptidase complex-like protein DTM1, with no coding region annotated. The record is from RefSeq and is a predicted model, not a curated record. The transcript is spliced from 4 exons. Lineage: Eukaryota; Viridiplantae; Streptophyta; Magnoliopsida; Rosales; Rhamnaceae.
CUCAGCAAAUGAAGACUUGCCACGUAAGAAUAAAGGGGAAAAAAAAAAAGGGAAGAAAAGAAAUUGAUGAAACAUAAAAAUGCAAUUAAUACCAAGUUAUGAACAGUUGGGGAAGCAUUCAAAGCACUUGUCCUAACUACUACACCUUUUUCCCGCAAGUUACCUAAAUUUUGAUCCAUCAAUGGCCAAAAUCACCAACUCCUUCUUCCUCGUCUUCCAAACUGCGUCGUUUUCACACACUCUCCUCCUCCUUCUCCGCCUCUUCUCUCUCUCUUUCUCUCUCUCUCUCUUUCCAUGGCCAACGACGUCGCUCUGAGGUCCGCUCUCGUUUGGUUAGCUGCGGUGGUUGUGGUCGUCGGGAUUUGCACUUUCUCCUUCAAGAAAAUGAUAGCAACCUACAUCGUGGGUAUUCUGGGAAUUUCCGGUUUGCUUUUGCCUGAUUGGGGUUACUUCGACCGAGACUUUUCAAGGUGGACUACUCCGGUUGAGUCCCAUGAAAGGGUCUCUGAGACGGCUCAAAGAUCUGCAUUUUCAAGGUUAAUGCACCAUCCAUUGAGAGUGAUAGUUUAUAGCACAGUAUAUGGGUUUGCUCUGUACAAGUGGUGGAUGUUCGUAUCCAAGUAGUGAAAAGCAGUUCAUGAAGAAUGGUUUCAUCUCAGGAGCUUUUGUGGAUCGAACUUUGAAGGAAACUCUCCAAUCAUAAUGUGUAAAAUGUAGUCUAGAGCCAGUAGCCCGGGUGAAGAAAAUCAAGAAAAAAGAAAUCUACCAUGGCAGUAAGUGUCUGUACCGGGAAAGUACCCCCUACUUUUGGCUCAUUUUCUCAUGGAGAAGAGGACAAUUUAAUGCGCGUUUAUGAUUAGUUUGUAUGAUUCAGGGUAAGGCAAAAGGAGAGGUCUCUUUCUACCGGAAAUAAGUGGUAGAGGUUCAGCAGGAACUUAUAAGUGAUUACAAUCUAAGUCAGACAUUUAUUAACCCAUCAAUAUAAUAGUUCAUUAUUAUCAUGCUCAUAAGUUCGGCACCUCCUAAUGGAUCCUCAAACCCGGUAUUUGGAGACUUUUAAGUAGGCAUUAACUAAAUCCUCUCGAGAAAAGGGAACAUAAGGCAUUAGAAAAUCCUCUACCAGCUGGUCUAAUUUAAUAUUAAAGAUAAUACUUUUAACUCGUCAAAAUCAUGAGCAUAGAGUUAAAACUCUUCACAACAGCUCGAACUUAAUUAGAAAGUUUGAAUUAGACUGAAUUAGAAAGUGAAUAAAAUCAGACUCAAUUAGAAAGUAAAUAAACGUACGUCAUAAGAGUUAUGAAUUGAUACCUCUGUUUAAAACUGUAAUCGCUGAUUAUUAAUCGAGAAAAAAUAGACAUAACAAUAGAACAUAAGGGGCCACCCAUUUUGGAUUUUACAAUCUUUCUAGUACAUCUUCCAGCACUAAUUUUCUAAUACGCCAAUAACUGCUCGAUUUAUUAGUAUUCAGUAGUUACACAUCCCUUCCACACAAAAAUUUUUUGAAAGAAUUCUAAAACUUUUGAUCUAUUGAAGCUUAACGGGAUUUACAUAACCAAACAUACUCUUCACCCUCUCAAUUUCAGUGUCUUUUCACCACAACAAAUAAUGUAUAAAAUUGAACCUAUUUCUUUGAUAGCAAGUAAUAUUGCGAGAAGACAGCUCCGAUAAAGUUGAAAAGAAAAGAAAA